RNAcentral lists this transfer RNA (69 nucleotides) under Christinus marmoratus. RNAcentral's name for it is "tRNA-Cys". Lineage: Eukaryota; Metazoa; Chordata; Lepidosauria; Squamata; Gekkonidae. The record is from RNAcentral.
AAGCCCAUGUGGAUGUGAUCACGCCGAAAUGCAAAUUUGGAGACGCACCCUAUAAGGUGCCGGGGCUUC